GAGUUUGAUCCUGGCUCAGAUUGAACGCUGGCGGAAUGCUUUACACAUGCAAGUCGAACGGUAGAGGGGGCAACCCUUGAGAGUGGCGAACGGGUGAGUAAUAUAUCGGAACGUGCCCAGUCGUGGGGGAUAACGUAGCGAAAGUUACGCUAAUACCGCAUACGAUCUAAGGGUGAAAGCGGGGGAUCGCAAGACCUCGCGCGAUUGGAGCGGCCGAUAUCAGAUUAGGUAGUUGGUGAGGUAAAGGCUCACCAAGCCAACGAUCUGUAGCUGGUCUGAGAGGACGACCAGCCACACUGGAACUGAGACACGGUCCAGACUCCUACGGGAGGCAGCAGUGGGGAAUUUUGGACAAUGGACGCAAGUCUGAUCCAGCCAUUCCGCGUGCAGGAUGAAGGCCCUCGGGUUGUAAACUGCUUUUGUACGGAACGAAAAGGUUUCUAUUAAUACUAGGAGCUCAUGACGGUACCGUAAGAAUAAGCACCGGCUAACUACGUG
RNAcentral lists this ribosomal RNA (498 nucleotides) under uncultured bacterium. Its description in RNAcentral is "bacterial SSU rRNA". It matches the Rfam family "Bacterial small subunit ribosomal RNA", at positions 9 to 507 of the family's 1533-position model. The record is from RNAcentral.